UACCGGCACCCCAAGUGGUCGUCGCUUUUAUUGGGCCUAAAACGUCCGUGGCCGGCUCUGUAAGUUUUCGGUUAAAUCCGUACGCUCAACGUACAGGCUGCCGGGAAUACUGCAGAGCUAGAGAGUGGGAGAGGUAGACGGUACUCGGUAGGAAGGGGUAAAAUCCUUUGAUCUAUUGAUGACCACCUGUGGCGAAGGCGGUCUACCAGAACACGUUCGACGGUGAGGGAUGAAAGCUGGGGGAGCAAACCGG
Molecule: ribosomal RNA, 253 nt
Filed under: uncultured archaeon
Lineage: Archaea
Description: partial 16S ribosomal RNA
Rfam family: Archaeal small subunit ribosomal RNA
Source: RNAcentral